Molecule: long non-coding RNA, 1462 nt
Organism: Felis catus (domestic cat)
Lineage: Eukaryota; Metazoa; Chordata; Mammalia; Carnivora; Felidae
Exons: 5
Source: RefSeq, a predicted model, not a curated record
UUUUACCCAUUCCAACACUGAUUGCAUGGCCUCCGGCCGUGCCUCAGAGCACACAGUAGAACAGCUGGAAUUGAUCAGUGGGCCCCAUAUUAACCCAUUGGUUCCAGGAGGUGGGAUUUCCUGAACCCAAAGCACUAAUUUUUGCACGUUUUUUGGUCUUUCCUUUCUGACUUUUAGGGAAGCAGGGAGCGUGUGUGGGCAAACAGGCCAAACGGAGCGGCAGCACACUGUUCCUCCAUUAGCUUCACGCAGCAAACUGAGAAGCCCAGAGAGAAAGGAAAACACAUUCUGGACGGCCUUUGUUUAUUGUUCCUCGCAGAGCAGCUCGGAGCUUACCCAGAGGAGCCUGCUGGGAGUGAGAUCGUCAGCAGACCUUAAGCUUCAGCGAGGUGGAAGGCAAUCCCCAUGGCGACCACUCUGUCGGCGUCCCCCCGGGCUGCGCAGGUGCAGCACCUGUAGUAGGCGUGGCCACAUGAGCCCGUGAGUAAGGACCCUUCAUCCCGUGCCAGCCACCGGAUAGGAGCCAGGCCAUGCUCACUGGGCCAGUCACCGGUGUCUCUCAGAAGUUGCCCCACCUGGUACCUCUCGUGCCGACUACCUGGUACCACUGUCUGAACUCCGAGGGGACAGUUCCCCGGCAUUGGCUACCCAGGACGGUGAUGAAUUCCAAAGAUGAAUUUCACUAUAUUGAACAUGGCCCAUUGCAUUUAAAAUUAAAGAGCUGGGAAGAAACCACCACUCGCUGAUGGUGAGACCACCGAGGGCCAGAGAGGGGAACCAACGAGUUCAAUGAUGUGGUCAAGAUGACGCAUCUCAGAAGCUACCAACGGGUAACACCGGAUUCACUCUGGAACCGCAAUGAUCAAACCUACCAGUUAUCAAGCAUCUUUUAAAAUAGCGUGAUAUUUCUUUCUGAGUAGAGAAACAGUACAUUGUGGAGCUCUGUAGCACAGAGCCUGCUUUAGGAUUCUCUCUCUCCCUGUCUCUGCCCCUCCCCCACUUGUACUGUCUCUGUCUCUCUCAAAAUAAAUUAAUACACUUAAAAAAAAGAAAAAUAGUACCUUGUCAUUUUAGACACUGUCAGAAAAAAGAAAAUCAAAACUGUCCAUUAUCUCGUCCCUUGGAGGCAACCCAAUAUUUACAAUUUGGUAUAUUAUAUACCCUUUUUUAUGGACAUACUUUUUACAUCACUCUGUUCAUGCACAUAAAAUUUUUUGCAGUGUGCGUUUCUCACUUAACAUUAUAAACAUUUCCCUGGUCAUCAAAAACUCUUUGUAAAGAUGGCUUUUCUAACUACGUACACUUUGACGUCAUGUGAAACUUUUCUUAAAUAUUUCCUUGUAUAAUAGUUGCUUGAUUCCAAUUUUCUGCUACUACAGAUAAUUCUGGGCUUAACAUUUUGGUCUAAGAUUUUUCUGCUCAUAUUUGUGAAAUUUCAUAAUAUAGAUUUCCUCUAAUCUCC